UUGAAGGGCGAGUUCCCGUCCCUCUUCUCCCGUCCUCGCUUCUUCAGUUCUCCAGUAUAUUGACUAGAGUCCGGUCUACACCCUGCUCACUCUGUACUAGAUCCGUAAUUUUCUCAGUGUAGUGCGACCAGCUGAAUUCGGAGAAGAAAAUUAACUGGAAGAAGGCUAUUUUUUAAAAUUUCAACCUUCCCUGUAGUCAUAGUAAGAAUUGCAUACCUGUUCUAGUGGAAAAUACAGGACACUUUGGAGAAUACAGGAAACUGUCAAAAUAGAGGAAACUGUUUCUAGUGGAGAAUACAGAAAACUGUGAAGAAUACAUAAAAAAUUGUAAAGAACACCAAAAACUGUAAGAAUACAGGAAACUGUGAAGAAUACAGGAAACUGUAAAGAACACAUGACACUGUGAAGAAUACAGGAACUGUAAAGAAUACAGGAAACUGUAAAGAAUACAAUACAGAAAACUGUAGAGAAUACAGAAAACUGUAAAGAAUACAGAAAACUGUAAAUAAUACAGAAAACUGCAAAGAAUAUAGAAAACUGUGAAGAUUACAGAAAACUGUUCAGGAUACAGGUAACUGUCAAGAAUACAGAGAACUGUAAAGAAUGCAGAAAACUGUAAAGAAUUCAGGAAACUGUAAAAAAUACAGGAAACUGUGAAGAAUACAGGAAACUCUGGAGAAUACAUGAAAUUUUUUGAGAGUAGAGAAAACUGUGAAGAAUACAGGAAAUUGUGAUAAACACAGGAUACUGUGAAGAACACAGGAAACUGUGAAGAAUACAGGAAACUGUGAAGAAUACAGGAAACUGUGAAGAAUACAGGAAACUGUGAAGAAUACAGGAAACUGUGAAGAAUACAGGAAACUUUGAACAAUACAGGAAACUGUGAAGAAUACAGGAAACUGUGAACAAUACAGCAAACUGUUAACAAUACAGGAAACUGUGUAAAAUAAAAAAAACUGUGAAAAAUAAUACUGUAAAGAAUACAGGAAACUGUGAAGAAUGCAGGAAACUGUAAAGAAUACAGGAAACUGUAAAGAAUACAGGAAACUUUGAAAAAUACUAAAAAAAUGUGAAAAAAAGGAAAAUUAUGAAAAAUAUGUCAAAAAAACUUCAAAAAAUCAAAUAAUG
Eurytemora carolleeae is the source of this 1128-nucleotide long non-coding RNA. RefSeq lists it as uncharacterized. The record is from RefSeq and is a predicted model, not a curated record. The transcript is spliced from 3 exons. Lineage: Eukaryota; Metazoa; Arthropoda; Copepoda; Calanoida; Temoridae.